CGCCUUUUGAAAUUUCAUAAAAGGUUAGGCCUGCCCAAUGAGUUUUAAAUGGCCGCGGUAUUUUGACCGUGCGAAGGUAGCAUAAUCAUUAGUCUGUUCAUUGCAGACUGGAAUGAAUGGCUAGAUGGGGAGAAGCUGUCUCUUUUAUAAAAAUGAAUUUUAGAUCUUUGUGAAGACGCUUAGAUGAAGCAGAAAGACGAGAAGACCCUAUUAAGCUUUACAUUAUUUACUUUCAUAUUAUUUAAGUAAUAUAUGUUGUGCUGGGGCGGCAGUAAAGGUUAACCUUUACAAUAUUUUAAUAUUUUAAGUAAAGUUAGAAUGAUCCAUAAUAUAUGAUCAUUAGGAUUAGUUACUAUAGGGAUAACAGCGUAAUUUUAUCGGAGAGUCCAUAUUGAUGAUAAGGAUUGCGACCUCGAUGUUGAAUUAGGAUCCCUGUAUAGUGCAGCCGUUAUAUAAGGUAAUCUGUUCGAUUAUUAAAUUCCUACA
RNAcentral lists this ribosomal RNA (486 nucleotides) under Cermatobius japonicus. RNAcentral's name for it is "partial 16S ribosomal RNA". It matches the Rfam family "Bacterial large subunit ribosomal RNA", at positions 1817 to 2600 of the family's 2925-position model. The record is from RNAcentral. Lineage: Eukaryota; Metazoa; Arthropoda; Chilopoda; Lithobiomorpha; Henicopidae.